This 468-nucleotide ribosomal RNA is filed under the name uncultured bacterium. Its description in RNAcentral is "partial 16S ribosomal RNA". It matches the Rfam family "Bacterial small subunit ribosomal RNA", at positions 28 to 507 of the family's 1533-position model. The record is from RNAcentral.
GACGAACGCUGGCGGCGUGCUUAACACAUGCAAGUCGAACGGAAAGGCCCUGCUUUUGUGGGGUGCUCGAGUGGCGAACGGGUGAGUAACACGUGAGUAACCUGCCCUUGACUUUGGGAUAACUUCAGGAAACUGGGGCUAAUACCGGAUAGGAGCUCCUGCUGCAUGGUGGGGGUUGGAAAGUUUCGGCUGUUGGGGAUGGACUCGCGGCUUAUCAGCUUGUUGGUGGGGUAGUGGCUUACCAAGGCUUUGACGGGUAGCCGGCCUGAGAGGGUGACCGGCCACAUUGGGACUGAGAUACGGCCCAGACUCCUACGGGAGGCAGCAGUGGGGAAUAUUGCACGAUGGGCGGAAGCCUGAUGCAGCAACGCCGCGUGCGGGAUGACGGCCUUCGGGUUGUAAACCGCUUUCGCCUGUGACGAAGCGUGAGUGACGGUAAUGGGUAAAGAAGCACCGGCUAACUACGUG